Molecule: ribosomal RNA, 244 nt
Filed under: uncultured Staphylococcus sp.
Lineage: Bacteria; Bacillati; Bacillota; Bacilli; Caryophanales; Staphylococcaceae
Description: partial 16S ribosomal RNA
Rfam family: Bacterial small subunit ribosomal RNA
Source: RNAcentral
CGGCGGACGGGUGAGUAACACGUGGAUAACCUACCUAUAAGACUGGGAUAACUUCGGGAAACCGGAGCUAAUACCGGAUAAUAUAUUGAACCGCAUUGUUCAAUAGUGAAAGACGGUUUUGCUGUCACUUAUAGAUGGAUCCGCGCCGCACUAGCUAGUUGGUAAGGUAACGGCUUACCAAGGCAACGAUGCGUAGCCGACCUGAGAGGGUGAUCGGCCACACUGGAACUGAGACACGGUCCAG